GACUCAGCCUGGAAGUGGGAAAAAAUAGUAAAUAAACAUCGUUAUACCCUCUGUGAGGUUCAAACUGAGCCUGUGAGGUUACAACACAGUCACAGAACAGUUUCCAACGUUGUCAUUGUGCUGGAGGUUGAUAAAUUGGGGCUUCAUUGUGUGGAGCAAGUGUGGGACAGUGGCAAAGUGGGUGCAGGGACAUCUCACCUUCACCUGGUCACCGGUGACAUGGGACACAGCUGUGGGACACAGUACCCUUGGCAUGUGUGUCCCUCCCUGCUCACAGCCCUGGGCAAGGCCAGCCCUGCCACCAAAUUACUGUCACACACACAGCCCUGGGCAAGGGCAGGCACAGUCCCUAAUUGCCACACACACCCCCUGUGUCCCCAUGCCACACACAUCCUGUGCCAGCCCUGUCCCCAGGUCACACACUUAGACCCACUGCCAGCCCAGUCCUGUCCCCAUGUCCCCAGGUCACACACAACACACGCACCCUGUGCCAGUCCUGUCCCAUUGUCACAAAGUUACACCCAGUGCCAGGCCAGCCCUGUCCCAUUGUCGCACACAAACACAGUGCCAGCCCUAUUCCCCAGCCCUGUCCCCAUGGCACACACACACCUGUCCCUGUGCCAGACACAAACUGUGCCAGCCCUGUCCUCAUGUCAUAUACACCUCCAGCGCCAGCCCAGCCCUGUCCCCAAGUCCCCAUGUCACACACACACCUGUCCCCACGCCACACACCCUCAGUGCAGCCCAGCCCUGUCCCCCUGUCACACAUACGGUGCCAGCCCAGCCCUGUCCCCAAGUCCCCAUGUCACACACACACCUGUCUCCAUGUCACACCCCCGCUGUGCCAGCCCAGCCCUGCCCCCAUGUCCCCUUGUCACACACACACACACACACCCCUGUCCCCAUGUGCCCAUGUCACACUCACCCCUCUCAUACACACCUCUGUCCCUGUGCCACACGCACACUUGUCCCCAUGUCACACCCCCUGCGCCAGGCCAGCCCUGUCCCCAAGUCCCCAGGUCACACACAAACCUGUGCCCAUGUCGCACACCCCCUGUGCUAGCCCUGUCCCCGUGUCACACCGCCCCUGUGCCAGCCCAGCCCUGUCUGUCUGUCUGUCUGUCCCCGUGUCCGCCCGGUCGGCCCGGGCGCGCGCCCCUCACCUGCCGCCGCGCGCCCGUCACCGCCGGCACCCAAAACAU
This 1202-nucleotide long non-coding RNA is filed under the name Manacus vitellinus (golden-collared manakin). Its description in RNAcentral is "lncRNA (ENSMVIG00005011662.1)". Lineage: Eukaryota; Metazoa; Chordata; Aves; Passeriformes; Pipridae. The record is from RNAcentral.